This 87-nucleotide transfer RNA is filed under the name Campylobacter fetus. RNAcentral describes it as "tRNA-Leu". It matches the Rfam family "tRNA". From Rfam's summary of the family: Transfer RNA (tRNA) molecules are approximately 80 nucleotides in length. Their secondary structure includes four short double-helical elements and three loops (D, anti-codon, and T loops). RNAcentral also lists the same sequence under 2 other names. Lineage: Bacteria; Pseudomonadati; Campylobacterota; Epsilonproteobacteria; Campylobacterales; Campylobacteraceae. The record is from RNAcentral.
GCCUAAAUGGUGAAAUUGGUAGACACGCUAGACUCAAAAUCUGGUACGGGAAACCGUGUGUCGGUUCGAGUCCGACUUUAGGCACCA